This 479-nucleotide ribosomal RNA is filed under the name uncultured bacterium. RNAcentral describes it as "bacterial SSU rRNA". It matches the Rfam family "Bacterial small subunit ribosomal RNA", at positions 28 to 502 of the family's 1533-position model. The record is from RNAcentral.
GACGAACGCUGGCGGCGUGCUUAACACAUGCAAGUCGAGCGGUAAGGCCCUUUCGGGGGUACACGAGCGGCGAACGGGUGAGUAACACGUGGGUGACCUGCCCUCAGCUCUGGGAUAAGCCUGGGAAACCGGGUCUAAUACUGGAUAUGACUCCAUGACGCAUGUUGUGGGGUGGAAAGCCUUGUGCGGCUGAGGAUGGGCCCGCGGCCUAUCAGCUUGUUGGUGGGGUGANGGCCUACCAAGGCGACGACGGGUAGCCGGCCUGAGAGGGCGACCGGCCACACUGGGACUGAGACACGGCCCAGACUCCUACGGGAGGCAGCAGUGGGGAAUAUUGGACAAUGGGCGCAAGCCUGAUCCAGCGAUGCCGCGUGUGUGAAGAAGGCCUGCGGGUUGUAAAGCACUUUCAGUAGGGAAGAAAAGCCGAGUGCUAAUAUCACUCGUCUUGACGUUACUUACAGAAGAAGCACCGGCUAACU